UGGCUCAGGAUGAACGCUGGCGGCGUGCUUAACGCAUGCAAGUCGAACGGGAACCUCUGGAUUCGUCUGGAGGGGAGAGUGGCGAACGUGGUGAGUAACACGUAUGUGACCUGCCUCACAUACGGGGAUAACCACUGGAAACGGUGGCUAAUACCCGAUGGUCUCGGUGAUUCGGUUCAUCGAGUAAAGGCUCUGGCGCUUUGAGAGGGACCUGCGGCCCAUCAGCUAGUUGGUAGGGUAACGGCCUACCAAGGCGAAGACGGGUAGGGGGCGUGAGAGCGUGACCCCCCACACUGGCACUGGGACACUGUCCAGACUCCUACGGGAGGCAACAGUGACGAAUAUUGCGCAAUGAGCGAAAGCUAGACGCAGCAACGCCGCGUGGGUGAUGAAGGCCUUCGGGUCGUAAAACCCUUUUCUGGGGGAAGAGUAAGGACGGUACCCCAGGAAUAAGCCUCGGCUAACUAUGUGCCAGCAGCCGCGGUCUUACAUAGGAGGCAAGCGUUAUCCGGAUUUACUGGGCGUAAAGAGCGUUGAGGCGGCUACGUAAGUUGGACGUGACAGCUCCCGGGUUAACUGGGAGAGGCCGUUCAGUACUGCGGGGCUUGAGGGCAGCCGAGGGGGGUGGCAUUUCCGGUGUAUCCGUGACUUGCGUAGAUGUCGGCUGGAACACCAUUGGCGAAGGCUGGCCCCUGGGCUGCUCCUGACGCUGACGGCGAAAGCUAGGGUAGCGAACGGGAUUUGAAACCCCGGUAGUCCUAGCCGUAUACGAUGGCUACUA
RNAcentral lists this ribosomal RNA (781 nucleotides) under uncultured organism. Its description in RNAcentral is "bacterial SSU rRNA". It matches the Rfam family "Bacterial small subunit ribosomal RNA", at positions 20 to 818 of the family's 1533-position model. The record is from RNAcentral.